This 492-nucleotide ribosomal RNA is filed under the name uncultured bacterium. RNAcentral's name for it is "partial 16S ribosomal RNA". It matches the Rfam family "Bacterial small subunit ribosomal RNA", at positions 29 to 507 of the family's 1533-position model. The record is from RNAcentral.
AGUGAACGCUGGCGGUAGGCCUAACACAUGCAAGUCGAACGGCAGCACAGUAAGAGCUUGCUCUUACGGGUGGCGAGUGGCGGACGGGUGAGGAAUACAUCGGAAUCUACUUUUUCGUGGGGGAUAACGUAGGGAAACUUACGCUAAUACCGCAUACGACCUACGGGUGAAAGCAGGGGAUCUUCGGACCUUGCGCGAUUGAAUGAGCCGAUGUCGGAUUAGCUAGUUGGCGGGGUAAAGGCCCACCAAGGCGACGAUCCGUAGCUGGUCUGAGAGGAUGAUCGCCCACACUGGAACUGAGACACGGUCCAGACUCCUACGGGAGGCAGCAGUGGGGAAUAUUGGACAAUGGGCGCAAGCCUGAUCCAGCCAUACCGCGUGGGUGAAGAAGGCCUUCGGGUUGUAAAGCCCCUUUGUUGGGAAAGAAAAGCAGCAGGUUAAUACCCCGCUGUUCUGACGGUACCCAAAGAAUAAGCACCGGCUAACUUCGUG